Gambusia affinis (western mosquitofish) is the source of this 392-nucleotide long non-coding RNA. RefSeq lists it as uncharacterized. NCBI's taxonomy places the organism in Eukaryota, Metazoa, Chordata, Actinopteri, Cyprinodontiformes, Poeciliidae. The transcript is spliced from 3 exons. The record is from RefSeq and is a predicted model, not a curated record.
CAUAACAUCUUCACUUUGCUCUCUGUAAAUUCCCUUUAUAGACACAUAUGCACUAACGGAUCCCUUAGGAAUAGUAAAACGCUACCAUACAAGAAGCCACUAGUACUACUAAGAAGCAGGCUAUACGGGAGAUUCUGGCUUAUGCAGCGGGACUCUUAAAGAAGACACUACUGUUCUACAGCUGAGAGUGCCCACGUAAACAUAUCCAUAUGUUUAGUGGCUCGACGAAAAUGAGGCGAACACAUUGUUGAUUCAGACCCAUCAUGUUGAGGCUUGAGGUCACCCUGUCUCAGGCUUGGCUAGUUAGCAGCAGCCCACCUGAUGGCCCAGAGGAAAUCACAGCAGCCGCGCUCACAGGAGAGGGCCUGACAGCUAAGGCCCCACACCAGAGA